Molecule: ribosomal RNA, 494 nt
Filed under: uncultured bacterium
Lineage: Bacteria
Description: partial 16S ribosomal RNA
Rfam family: Bacterial small subunit ribosomal RNA
Source: RNAcentral
GACGAACGCUGGCGGCGUGCUUAACACAUGCAAGUCGAACGGUGAAGCGCCUUCCUUUUUGGUGAGUGUGGAUGAGUGGCGAACGGGUGAGUAACACGUGAGUAACCUGCCCCCUUCUUCUGGAUAACCGCAUGAAAGUGUGGCUAAUACGGGAUAUUCUGGGUCUGUCGCCUGAUGGGUCUGGGAAAGAUAUUGUUUCGGUGGGGGAUGGGCUCGCGGCCUAUCAGCUUGUUGGUGGGGUGAUGGCCUACCAAGGCGGUGACGGGUAGCCGGCCUGAGAGGGUGGACGGUCACACUGGGACUGAGACACGGCCCAGACUCCUACGGGAGGCAGCAGUGGGGAAUAUUGCACAAUGGGCGCAAGCCUGAUGCAGCGACGCCGCGUGAGGGAUGGAGGCCUUCGGGUUGUGAACCUCUUUCGCCAGUGAAGCAGGCCUGCCUCGUUUGUGGGUGGGUUGACGGUAGCUGGAUAAGAAGCGCCGGCUAACUACGUG